CUGGAAAUUUGUAGCUUUUGCGCCAGUUACCUGCUACGUGACAGCUGCCGCCGGUGGAGUAUCGAUAUAUCGAUAUAUCGGUAUGCGCAAGCUCGCUUGCGCUCCCCACCACUAAUUAGCGAUCAGCUGCUCGCAACAAGCAAAGCAGAGUGCGAAAAUGGGAAAAAUUGUUUUUGUCUUCCCAAAGAAGAGAGCGCGAAAAACCCGUGGCCUCCUCGCUUCUCCUCCCCUCCUCAGUGUAUGGAGCGGCGCCCAGCGACUGGAUUCCGCGCCGGGAGACUCACCCUGAACGCGUAUGUCGGUCUGGCUCGGUACGUACCCCUUCCUGUCGGGCACCUUCUCACUUUUACCUUUUUCCAGGCAGUUUCACGCACGGAAAAUGAAUUAGACGCUGGAGGAAAAACAAGCGCGUCCGAUCGCUUUCACUCUUCACAACUCUUCGUCUGAGUGUGAUGUGUGGUGUGAUGUGUGUGUGAUGCGUGUGAUGGUGCUGAUGCUGUAUGCUGCGGUGUGCGUGGCGCCGGUGCGUGGUGCGUAUGUGAUGUGUGUGUGAUGAGAGUGUCGCGGGUGUGAUGGGUGGUGCGCUGUGCCGCUGCGGUGUGCGGGGCGCCGGUGCGUUGUGCGGUGUGCCGGUGCGGUGUGCGGUGUGCGGUGUGUUCCCUUAGAUUGGGCACUCUGCUCCUCCCGAGGUGCUCCGGCCGUGCCAGCCUUGGCGCUGACCCUGCUGUCGGCUCUCUGCGUGUUGUCCGCUGCUGUCGUCUUCUCCUUCCAGCGCCGUCGUCGCCUCGCUUCACGAUUUUCGGUUUCGUUUUGUUAGCUUUUGGGCACUGAUUUUAAUUUUCUCCUUUUUUUUUCUUUUACUUUAGAUUGCCGACCGACCUCUUGGAAUUCUUCCCGGAAAACUGACCUUCUCAAUAUAACCUUCACGGCCACGUUCCCUUCUAUCCUUCUUGUCACCUUGCAACCCUUUUUCAGCCUCCUCGGAUCCACAGCAGAGGCCGCUGUCUGGUCUUCUUCUCCAGCCCUGUCGGUUAUCGGCUACCUCAGAAAGCCGUCCAUAACAAUUUUUAUAGCGUUCUACUUCUGCUCGCAAUCUCUCUCCUUUUUCUCACUUGCACCGAAUGCCGGCAAGAUCCAGCUAUCGCUCGCUGGUCCACAAUAGUUUAUCGAUAGUUAAUGUUUAUGGUAGCCUAACUAACUACUAAACAAUCAAAAACUUAAACUACUUAACACUAUUUAAAAAUCGAUAGUUAACAUUAGUUACCUGACCUUUUGAUCGUUCGCUGUAGCGAUUAAA
RNAcentral lists this long non-coding RNA (1297 nucleotides) under Drosophila guanche. The record is from RNAcentral. Lineage: Eukaryota; Metazoa; Arthropoda; Insecta; Diptera; Drosophilidae.